AUGGAGAUUCAAGACACUGAGCAUUGUGGAAUCGAGGUCGAUAGCAAGAUAAAAUGUUUCCAUGGGGAUGAUCCAACUAAAAAGGUUGCUUUUGAGGGUGUGGGCACAGGAAGAAGAUUCAUCGCUUGUAAGAAUGCAAAACCUUGUAAUUUCCGAAUUUGGUAUGAGCCGGAGUGGACUGCAACUUUGAAGCGAACACUACAACAGUUGUGGGGCAUGGUUCAGACAAAUCAGGAAAAAAGGAGGAGACUGAGGCCCUUGUCAACCAAUUGA
Molecule: ribosomal RNA, 273 nt
Filed under: Triticum aestivum (bread wheat)
Lineage: Eukaryota; Viridiplantae; Streptophyta; Magnoliopsida; Poales; Poaceae
Description: partial small subunit ribosomal RNA
Source: RNAcentral